CCUACGGGAGGCAGCAGUGAGGGAUAUUGGUCAAUGGGGGAAACCCUGAACCAGCAACGCCGCGUGAGGGAAGACGGUUUUCGGAUUGUAAACCUCUGUCCUCUGUGAAGAUAAUGACGGUAGCAGAGGAGGAAGCUCCGGCUAACUACGUGCCAGCAGCCGCGGUAAUACGUAGGGAGCGAGCGUUGUCCGGAUUUACUGGGUGUAAAGGGUGCGUAGGCGGGUAAGCAAGUCAGAAGUGAAAUCCAUGGGCUUAACCCAUGAACUGCUUUUGAAACUGUUUAUCUUGAGUGAAGUAGAGGUAG
This 305-nucleotide ribosomal RNA is filed under the name uncultured bacterium. RNAcentral's name for it is "bacterial SSU rRNA". It matches the Rfam family "Bacterial small subunit ribosomal RNA", at positions 338 to 660 of the family's 1533-position model. The record is from RNAcentral.